CAGCAGUGGGGAAUAUUGCACAAUGGGCGCAAGCCUGAUGCAGCGACGCCGCGUGAGGGAUGACGGCCUUCGGGUUGUAAACCUCUUUCAGCAGGGAAGAAGCGUGAGUGACGGUACCUGCAGAAGAAGCGCCGGCUAACUACGUGCCAGCAGCCGCGGUAAUACGUAGGGCGCAAGCGUUGUCCGGAAUUAUUGGGCGUAAAGAGCUCGUAGGCGGCUUGUCGCGUCGGAUGUGAAAGCCCGGGGCUUAACUCCGGGUCUGCAUUCGAUACGGGCAGGCUAGAGUUCGGUAGGGGAGAUCGGAAUUCCUGGUGUAGCGGUGAAAUGCGCAGAUAUCAGGAGGAACACCGGUGGCGAAGGCGGAUCUCUGGGCCGAUACUGACGCUGAGGAGCGAAAGCGUGGGGAGCGAACAGGAUUAGAUACCCUGGUAGUCCACGCCGUAAACGUUGGGAACUAGGUGUGGGCGACAUUCCACGUUGUCCGUGCCGCAGCUAACGCAUUAAGUUCCCCGCCUGGGGAGUACGGCCGCAAGGCUAAAACUCAAAGGAAUUGACGGGGGCCCGCACAAGCGGCGGAGCAUGUGGCUUAAUUCGACGCAACGCGAAGAACCUUACCAAGGCUUGACAUACAUCGGAAACAUCCAGAGAUGG
This 651-nucleotide ribosomal RNA is filed under the name Streptomyces malaysiensis. RNAcentral's name for it is "bacterial SSU rRNA". It matches the Rfam family "Bacterial small subunit ribosomal RNA", at positions 349 to 1009 of the family's 1533-position model. Lineage: Bacteria; Bacillati; Actinomycetota; Actinomycetes; Kitasatosporales; Streptomycetaceae. The record is from RNAcentral.